AUUGGAAGGGGUGUAUUUAUUAGAUAAAAAACCAACGCCCUUCGGGGCUUCUUGGUGAUUCAUGAUAACUUCACGGAUCGCAUGGCCUUGCGCCGGCGACGGUUCAUUCAAAUUUCUGCCCUAUCAACUUUCGAUGGUAAGGUAUUGGCUUACCAUGGUUUCAACGGGUAACGGGGAAUUAGGGUUCGAUUCCGGAGAGGGAGCCUGAGAAACGGCUACCACAUCCAAGGAAGGCAGCAGGCGCGCAAAUUACCCAAUCCCGACACGGGGAGGUAGUGACAAUAAAUACUGAUACAGGGCUCUUUUGGGUCUUGUAAUUGGAAUGAGUACAAUUUAAACCUCUUAACGAGGAACAAUUGGAGGGCAAGUCUGGUGCCAGCAGCCGCGGUAAUUCCAGCUCCAAUAGCGUAUAUUAAAGUUGUUGCAGUUAAAAAGCUCGUAGUUGAAACUUGGGCCUGGCUGGCAGGUCCGCCUCACCGCGUGUACUUGUCCGGCCGGGCCUUUCCUUCUGGAGAACCUCAUGCCCUUCACUGGGUGUGCUGGGGAACCAGGACUUUUAC
RNAcentral lists this ribosomal RNA (560 nucleotides) under uncultured fungus. Its description in RNAcentral is "SSU rRNA". It matches the Rfam family "Eukaryotic small subunit ribosomal RNA", at positions 191 to 755 of the family's 1831-position model. The record is from RNAcentral. Lineage: Eukaryota; Fungi.